This 301-nucleotide ribosomal RNA is filed under the name uncultured bacterium. RNAcentral's name for it is "partial 16S ribosomal RNA". It matches the Rfam family "Bacterial small subunit ribosomal RNA", at positions 509 to 807 of the family's 1533-position model. The record is from RNAcentral.
CAGCAGCCGCGGGAAUACGAAGGGUGCAAGCGUUAAUCGGAAUUACUGGGCGUAAAGCGUGCGUAGGCGGUGAGUUAAGUCUGCUGUGAAAUCCCCGGGCUCAACCUGGGAAUGGCAGUGGAUACUGGCUCGCUAGAGUGUGUCAGAGGAUGGUGGAAUUCCCGGUGUAGCGGUGAAAUGCGUAGAGAUCAGGAGGAACAUCAGUGGCGAAGGCGGCCAUCUGGGACAACACUGACGCUGAGGCACGAAAGCGUGGGGAGCAAACAGGAUUAGAUACCCCGGUAGUCCCUGUCUCUUAUAC